Thamnophis sirtalis is the source of this 1067-nucleotide non-coding RNA. The record is from RefSeq and is a predicted model, not a curated record. Lineage: Eukaryota; Metazoa; Chordata; Lepidosauria; Squamata; Natricidae.
GGAUAGAGCAUUUCAUAUUUCCAGCUCUCUACCAACAGGCAUCUAGUAGGGUUUUAUGCCACACAAAAGAACAGAGAAACGCUCUUGAUCUUGCCCAGUGAAAAUCACAGUGAUAAUUCUAAGGAAAGAUGGAGGGCUCUGACCAGGCAUGGUUCCCUCCUAGUUCACAAAUAUAACUCAAGGUGGCAAAUAUAUCCAACACCUUCCUCCUAUUUUCCCCACAAGAACCACCCUGCAGUUGGGUUUUGGGAUCUGGCUGUACAUGUCACACCCCAACAAUGCAAUUUGUUUUGACUAGUUUGGAUCAACUUCAACUCAGACAUGGAGAUUUCCAAGUGGCAACUUGUGGAUCUGAAGACCUAAUUCCUGCCUACCUUGAGGACAAAGUAGAUUUCUAUUGUUUUGAAGUUUCCCUUUUGCAGUUCCAUGUGAGUUUCAGAGUCCUCUGAUAACUAAGUGUGAGUUUAGGUUGCUGUACAGAUGAAGAGUCCCUGAACUGUUGUUGUCUUAAUGGUGAAGAAACUAUACUUCCAAGAACUCACAGCUAGCAAUUUUUCCAAUAUCUUUGAAUGGCACUCAGUUGUAGAAGAUUGAUAAGCAGGCCUUUUUUUGAAGCACUCCUGUCUAAAAAGAGAGAGAUCAGCUGCCUUCUACCUUCAGGCAAGUGGUUUUCUUAUUCCUUUGUCCUUCUGAUUGGUCCUUAUUACAGAUGUGAGGGCAUCCUUUUCAGAUUCCAGCCAUGGCACCUUAUAUACAGUAGUUGUCUAUUUACACUGUAUAAAUGUGUGUAUGGAGAUUCCAGUCAUGAAAACAACCACUUCAUAAACACAUGGCACAACAUAGGAGAACAAACCCAUCAGGACAAGAGUCAGCAGUCCAUCUGCAUUUAAAAGCCAAACUCCACUCUUUUGAAGACAGCAAAGUCCACAUUUUGGACAGCGGGGACCAGUGGUUUGAAAGAGGCCCUCUGUGUCAAAAUUGAACAUCCCUCUCUCAACCGAGAGGGCGGGAUACAACAUCAUCUAUCUCCAACCUACAUCACAGUCCUUUCAGCAGUUCCAAGAAGG